UGGGGAAUUUUGCACAAUGGGCGCAAGCCUGAUGCAGCCAUGCCGCGUGUAUGAAGAAGGCCUUCGGGUUGUAAAGUACUUUCAGCGGGGAGGAAGGGAGUAAAGUUAAUACCUUUGCUCAUUGACGUUACCCGCAGAAGAAGCACCGGCUAACUCCGUGCCAGCAGCCGCGGUAAUACGGAGGGUGCAAGCGUUAAUCGGAAUUACUGGGCGUAAAGCGCACGCAGGCGGUUUGUUAAGUCAGAUGUGAAAUCCCCGGGCUCAACCUGGGAACUGCAUCUGAUACUGGCAAGCUUGAGUCUCGUAGAGGGGGGUAGAAUUCCAGGUGUAGCGGUGAAAUGCGUAGAGAUCUGGAGGAAUACCGGUGGCGAAGGCGGCCCCCUGGACGAAGACUGACGCUCAGGUGCGAAAGCGUGGGGAGCAAACAGG
This 429-nucleotide ribosomal RNA is filed under the name Chloroflexota bacterium. Its description in RNAcentral is "Chloroflexi bacterium partial 16S ribosomal RNA". It matches the Rfam family "Bacterial small subunit ribosomal RNA", at positions 355 to 776 of the family's 1533-position model. Lineage: Bacteria; Bacillati; Chloroflexota. The record is from RNAcentral.